Molecule: non-coding RNA, 545 nt
Organism: Labrus bergylta (ballan wrasse)
Lineage: Eukaryota; Metazoa; Chordata; Actinopteri; Labriformes; Labridae
Source: RefSeq, a predicted model, not a curated record
GGACUGAUGACGAUGUAGCCCAGCUGAUCCGGCUGAGGAGGGAGAAGGACCACCCUUCAGCGGGAGGCGGUUUGCUGCUGCUGCAGGAUGGGAAACUUUGCUGAAAGACAUGCUGCUGUCUGAUCGAGUCAGUCCUGCUCGGGCGGAUAAAAAGUGGGAGAACUUGAAGAAAACGUACAAGUCAUGAUCAUCCAGAGCUGGCGGAUUUUCAAUCGGGGCUGAAAGAGCAGCAGCCAUGCGUCCACGCAGCUGCUCCCCACACUGCGAGUCAGGCUGAAGCUGGCCGUCUCCAUCAUCCGGCCUCAGUGCCUCUUCAACUGGCUCAAUUGUGUUGCCAUCCCUGAGGCAGAAAUUGUGGAGGAUGGCACAACAAGCCACCACCUCCACAGAGAACACAGGGCUCACUUCUAGGGCCUUGAAAAAGACGGAGCGCCAUCUAGCCUUCAUAAUACCAAAGGCCCGCUCGAUAACUGUCAUGAUUUGGUUUUGAAUUUGAGUUUCCCUGUUUUACCCCAGUGUUGCUUGUUUCCCUUGUGUGUUAAUGU